UUUGUUUCCCUUUAAUUUUUAUGUAAGAGAUGUUUCCUUUUCUAUUUAGUUUCCAAAACAGUGUAAUUGUUAUUCUGAUUUUUUUGUUAACCAUUAAGCUCUACCUCGAAAUUACGAAGGGAGUCUGUAAAAGCACUAAACGACUUGAUGGGAAAACGAUUAUUAUCACAGGUGCCAAUACUGGUAUCGGUAAAGAAACCGCGCUUGAUCUUGCUUCUAGAGGUGGUCGUAUCAUUCUAGCCUGCCGAGAUUUGAAAAAGGCAUCUGUAGCCAAAGAUGACAUUGGUCAAAAAUCAGGAAACUACAAUGUCUUGGUCAAGAAACUUGAUUUGGCAUCCUUGGCAUCAGUCAGACAGUUUGCUGAAGAUAUAUUAAAAAAUGAACCUAAACUUCAUAUCCUUAUUAACAAUGCUGGAUGUGGUGGAAUUAAACAACAGUAUACACAGGAUGGACUCGAAAACCAAAUGCAAUCAAACCACUUUGGGCAUUUUUUGCUUACAAAUUUGUUACUAGGUUUAAUGAUCAGGACUGCCGAAAAAGAACAAGAAAAUGCCCGCAUCAUCAAUGUCAGCUCCGACGCAAACCACCUUUGUAGAAGUCUGAACUUUGAAGACCUGAAUUUCGUUCGAGACCGUACGGCGGGAACGUUUUUGGCGCCUUAUAAAAUUUAUGGAACGUCAAAGCUGUGCAAUAUUCUUUUCAGCAUUGAACUAGCUAACAAGCUCGAACUCCAUGGAAGAGCUGUUACGGUGAAUUCUCUUCAUCCAGGUGCCGUGUACACUGAAUUCGGGCGCUUUUCCAGCAUAGUUUCGACGAUCAUGACCAUUUUGGUUUCUUUUUUGAAGACCCCCAAGGAAGGUGCGCAGACUACCAUUUACUUGGCUGUGGCAGACGAAGUUGCAAAUGUGACUGCACAGUAUUUUCGCGAUUGCAAGAUUGCCAAACCAUCAAAGCUUGCCCAAGACAGCGGAAUGGCAAAAAAAUUGUGGGAUGUAAGCGAAACGCUCGUUCGUCUUGAAUCAUAUGAAAAAUUCUUUUGAUGGUCGAAUUUUUCGUCCAUCUCCUUCAAAUUAGCGGGGAAAAUUUAAUGAUCUAUCAUCGCCGCCAUAACAUCUAAAUUGACUUGUAAUUCAUUAGACCAUUUCUUCAAGAUUACCGUUCUGUUAAAUGUUAAAGCAAAACCUUUUCCACAUCUUCAUAAAAAAUAUUUCCGAAUACGA
RNAcentral lists this unclassified non-coding RNA (1220 nucleotides) under Daphnia magna. RNAcentral describes it as "retinol dehydrogenase 11, transcript variant X2". The record is from RNAcentral. Lineage: Eukaryota; Metazoa; Arthropoda; Branchiopoda; Diplostraca; Daphniidae.